Molecule: transfer RNA, 73 nt
Filed under: Ameiurus melas (black bullhead)
Lineage: Eukaryota; Metazoa; Chordata; Actinopteri; Siluriformes; Ictaluridae
Rfam family: tRNA
About the family: Transfer RNA (tRNA) molecules are approximately 80 nucleotides in length. Their secondary structure includes four short double-helical elements and three loops (D, anti-codon, and T loops).
Source: Rfam by way of RNAcentral
GGUUCUAUAGUGUAGUGGUCAUCACGUCUGCUUUACACGCAGAAAGUCCUGGGUUCAAUCCCCAGUACAACCA